AACNGACACAGGUGGUCAGGUAGAGAAUACCAAGGCGCUUGAGAGAACUCGGGUGAAGGAACUAGGCAAAAUGGUGCCGUAACUUCGGGAGAAGGCACGCUGACACGUAGGUGAAGUGAUUUACUCAUGGAGCUGAAGUCAGUCGAAGAUACCAGCUGGCUGCAACUGUUUAUUAAAAACACAGCACUGUGCAAACACGAAAGUGGACGUAUACGGUGUGACGCCUGCCCGGU
RNAcentral lists this ribosomal RNA (233 nucleotides) under Salmonella enterica subsp. enterica serovar Infantis. RNAcentral describes it as "partial 23S ribosomal RNA". It matches the Rfam family "Bacterial large subunit ribosomal RNA", at positions 1652 to 1867 of the family's 2925-position model. Lineage: Bacteria; Pseudomonadati; Pseudomonadota; Gammaproteobacteria; Enterobacterales; Enterobacteriaceae. The record is from RNAcentral.